RNAcentral lists this ribosomal RNA (1490 nucleotides) under uncultured Bordetella sp. Its description in RNAcentral is "partial 16S-23S ribosomal RNA intergenic spacer". It matches the Rfam family "Bacterial small subunit ribosomal RNA". Lineage: Bacteria; Pseudomonadati; Pseudomonadota; Betaproteobacteria; Burkholderiales; Alcaligenaceae. The record is from RNAcentral.
GGUUCGAUUCUGGCUCAGAUUGAACGCUGGCGGGAUGCUUUACACAUGCAAGUCGAACGGCAGCACGGACUUCGGUCUGGUGGCGAGUGGCGAACGGGUGAGUAAUGUAGCCGGAACGUGCCUGGCUUGGGGGAUAACUACGCGAAAGCGUAGCUAAUACCGCAUACGCCCUUCGGGGAAAAGCGGGGGACCUUCGGGCCUCGCACUAUUAAACUGACCGAUAUCGGAUUAGCUAGUUGGUGGGGUAACGGCUCACCAAGGCGACGAUCCGUAGCUGGUUUGAGAGGACGACCAGCCACACUGGGACUGAGACACGGCCCAGACUCCUACGGGAGGCAGCAGUGGGGAAUUUUGGACAAUGGGGGAAACCCUGAUCCCAGCCAUCGCGUGUGCGAUGAGGCCUUCGGGUUGUAAAGCACUUUUGGCAGGAAAGAAACAGCCUGGAUAAUACCCCGUGCAACUGACGGUACCUGCAGAAUAAGCACCGGCUAACUACGUGCCAGCAGCCGCGGUAAUACGUAGGGUGCAAGCGUUAAUCGGAAUUACUGGGCGUAAAGCGUGCGCAGGCGGUUCCGGAAAGAAAGAUGUGAAAUCCCAGAGCUUAACUUUGGAACUGCAUUUUUUUAACUACCGAGCUGGAGUGUGUGUCAGAGGGAGGUGGAAUUCCGCGUGUAGCAGUGAAAUGCGUAGAUAUGCGGAGGAACACCGAUGGCGAAGGCAGCCUCCUGGGAUAACACUGACACCAUGCACGAAAGCGUGGGGAGCAAACAGGAUUAGAUACCCUGGUAGUCCACGCCCACAAACGAUGUCAACUAGCUGUUGGGGCCUUCGGGCCUUGGUAGCGCAGCUAACGCGUGAAGUUGACCGCCUGGGAGUACCCGGUCGCAAGAUUAAAACUCAAAGGAAUUGACGGGGACCCGCACAAGCGGUGGAUGAUGUGGAUUAAUUCGAUGCAACGCGAAAAACCUUACCUACACCCUUGACAUGUCUGGAAUCCCGAAGAGAUUUGGGAGUGCUCGCAAGAGAACCGGAACACAGGUGCUGCACUUGGCUGUCGCCAGCUCAUUGUCGUGAGAUGUUGGGUUAAGUCCCGCAACGAGCGCAACCCUUGUCAUUAGUUGCUACGAAGGGCACUCUAAUGAGACUGCCGGUGACAAACCGGAGGAAGGUGGGGAUGACGUCAAGUCCUCAUGGCCCUUAUGGGUAGGGCUUCACACGUCAUACAAUGGUCGGGACAGAGGGUCGCCAACCCGCGAGGAGCCAAUCCCAGAAACCCGAUCGUAGUCCGGAUCUGAUCUGCAACUCGACUGCGUGAAGUCGGAAUCGCUAGUAAUCGCGGAUCAGCAUGUCGCGGUGAAUACGUUCCCGGGUCUUGUACACACCGCCCGUCACACCAUGGGGUGGGUUUUACCAGAAGUAGUUAGCCUAACCGUAAGGAGGGCGAUUACCACGGUAGGAUUCAUGACUGGGGUGAAGUCGUAACAAGGUAA